UCUUGCCUCCUUUGUCAAAGAUUAAUUGACCAUAGGUGCCUGAUUUAUUUCUGGGUUCUCUAUUCUGUUCCAUUGGUCUGUACGUCUGUUUUUGUACCUGUCUUGAUUACUGUAGCUUUAUAAUGUCUGAAAUCUGGGAGAAUUAUGCCUCCUGCCUGGUUUUUGUUCCUCAGGAUUGCUUUGGCAAUUCAUAGACCAAUGUUUUCACAGGCCCACAGAUGCUCAGAGCUGCCAUCUGGACCUGCGUUUCCCCCCGUGUGAAACAUGUUCCACCUGAUUUCAAGUGUCCAUGCAGAAGUUCUUGGGCCAGGAAUCAAACCUGUGCCACAGCAGCGACCAGAGCUGCUGCAGUGACAAUGCCGGAUCCUUAAGCCACUGUACCACAAGGGAACUCCAACUAAGAAGAAAGUCACGGGUGUUUGUUCUGUAGGAAUCUGAGGUGUG
RNAcentral lists this long non-coding RNA (444 nucleotides) under Sus scrofa (pig). Its description in RNAcentral is "lncRNA (ENSSSCG00070012603.1)". The record is from RNAcentral. Lineage: Eukaryota; Metazoa; Chordata; Mammalia; Artiodactyla; Suidae.